Molecule: ribosomal RNA, 253 nt
Filed under: uncultured bacterium
Lineage: Bacteria
Description: partial 16S ribosomal RNA
Rfam family: Bacterial small subunit ribosomal RNA
Source: RNAcentral
UACGUAGGUGGCAAGCUUUGUCCGGAUUUACUGGGCGUAAAGAGCGCGCAGGCGGUCGGAUUAGUCGCGUGUGAAAGCCCCCGGCUCAACUGGGGAGGGUCACGCGAUACUGUUCGACUCGAAGGCAGGAGAGGGAAGUGGAAUUCCCGGUGUAGUGGUGAAAUGCGUAGAUAUCGGGAGGAACACCAGUGGCGAAGGCGACUUCCUGGCCUGUUCUUGACGCUGAGGCGCGAAAGCUAGGGUAGCAAACGGG